UACGUAGGUGGCAAGCGUUAUCCGGAAUGAUUGGGCGUAAAGGGUGCGCAGGCGGAACCAUAAGUCUGAAGUAAAAGCCAUCGGCUCAACCGAUGUAAGCUUUGGAAACUGUGGAUCUGGAGUGCAGGAGAGGACAGUGGAAUUCCAUGUGUGGCGGUAAAAUGCGUAGAUAUAUGGAGGAACACCAGUGGCGAAGGCGGCUGUCUGGCCUGUAACUGACGCUGAGGCACGAAGGCGUGGGGAGCAAAUAGG
This 252-nucleotide ribosomal RNA is filed under the name uncultured bacterium. Its description in RNAcentral is "partial 16S ribosomal RNA". It matches the Rfam family "Bacterial small subunit ribosomal RNA", at positions 524 to 776 of the family's 1533-position model. The record is from RNAcentral.